RNAcentral lists this non-coding RNA (316 nucleotides) under Pan troglodytes (chimpanzee). RNAcentral also lists the same sequence under 2 other names. The record is from RNAcentral. Lineage: Eukaryota; Metazoa; Chordata; Mammalia; Primates; Hominidae.
AGAAGAAGUGGAUUUAAAUGCUGGGCUUCAUGGAAACUGGACCUUGGAAAAUGCUAAAGCUCGUCUAAACCAAUAUUUUCAGAAAGAAAAGAUCCAAGGAGAAUAUAAGUACACCCAAGUGGGUCCUGAUCACAACAGGUGGAGGAGAAUGAGAUUGAGUGCUGACUUUAAGCCUGGCUGAGAAACAUACUGGCAUCGAUGUCAUUAAUGAAAGGGUGGAUGUUGUUCCCCUGAAAGCCAGUGGCCUUUGACCCCUGAAGCCGCUGUGCCUGAAGGAGCUUUAUUGCAGAAAUGACCAUUUAUAUCAAGCAGCUGG